This 467-nucleotide ribosomal RNA is filed under the name uncultured bacterium. RNAcentral describes it as "partial 16S ribosomal RNA". It matches the Rfam family "Bacterial small subunit ribosomal RNA", at positions 29 to 507 of the family's 1533-position model. The record is from RNAcentral.
AUGAACGCUGGCGGCGUGCUUAACACAUGCAAGUCGAACGGAAAGGCCAGUGCUUGCACUGGUACUCGAGUGGCGAACGGGUGAGUAACACGUGGGUGAUCUGCCCUGUACUUCGGGAUAAGCUUGGGAAACUGGGUCUAAUACCGGAUAGGACAACUUUUUGGAUAUUGUUGUGGAAAGCUUUUGCGGUAUGGGAUGAGCUCGCGGCCUAUCAGCUUGUUGGUGGGGUAAUGGCCUACCAAGGCGUCGACGGGUAGCCGGCCUGGGAGGGUGUACGGCCACAUUGGGACUGAGAUACGGCCCAGACUCCUACGGGAGGCAGCAGUGGGGAAUAUUGCACAAUGGGCGCAAGCCUGAUGCAGCGACGCCGCGUGGGGGAUGAAGGCCUUCGGGUUGUAAACUCCUUUCGCUAGGGACGAAGCUUUUUUGUGACGGUACCUGGAGAAGAAGCACCGGCUAACUACGUG